This 760-nucleotide ribosomal RNA is filed under the name uncultured bacterium. RNAcentral describes it as "bacterial SSU rRNA". It matches the Rfam family "Bacterial small subunit ribosomal RNA", at positions 28 to 777 of the family's 1533-position model. The record is from RNAcentral.
GAUGAACGCUAGCUACAGGCUUAACACAUGCAAGUCGAGGGGCAGCGUGGUCUUAGCUUGCUAAGGCCGAUGGCGACCGGCGCACGGGUGAGUAACACGUAUCCAACCUGCCGUCUACUCUUGGACAGCCUUCUGAAAGGAAGAUUAAUACAAGAUGGCAUCAUGAGUCCGCAUGUUCACAUGAUUAAAGGUAUUCCGGUAGACGAUGGGGAUGCGUUCCAUUAGAUAGUAGGCGGGGUAACGGCCCACCUAGUCUUCGAUGGAUAGGGGUUCUGAGAGGAAGGUCCCCCACAUUGGAACUGAGACACGGUCCAAACUCCUACGGGAGGCAGCAGUGAGGAAUAUUGGUCAAUGGGCGAGAGCCUGAACCAGCCAAGUAGCGUGAAGGAUGACUGCCCUAUGGGUUGUAAACUUCUUUUAUAAAGGAAUAAAGUCGGGUAUGGAUACCCGUUUGCAUGUACUUUAUGAAUAAGGAUCGGCUAACUCCGUGCCAGCAGCCGCGGUAAUACGGAGGAUCCGAGCGUUAUCCGGAUUUAUUGGGUUUAAAGGGAGCGUAGAUGGAUGUUUAAGUCAGUUGUGAAAGUUUGCGGCUCAACCGUAAAAUUGCAGUUGAUACUGGAUAUCUUGAGUGCAGUUGAGGCAGGCGGAAUUCGUGGUGUAGCGGUGAAAUGCUUAGAUAUCACGAAGAACUCCGAUUGCGAAGGCAGCCUGCUAAGCUGCAACUGACAUUGAGGCUCGAAAGUGUGGGUAUCAAACCAGG